This is a long non-coding RNA of Salvia splendens (bonfire salvia), 1687 nucleotides long. RefSeq lists it as uncharacterized. Lineage: Eukaryota; Viridiplantae; Streptophyta; Magnoliopsida; Lamiales; Lamiaceae. The record is from RefSeq and is a predicted model, not a curated record. The transcript is spliced from 2 exons.
AUUCCUAUUCUCCAAAUUGAGAAACUGCACACCAGCUUCUUCUCUCUUCCUUCCUCGGCGAAAUCGCCACUUCCGACGAUCUCACGCCGGUUCUGCCGGCGUCAUCCUCCUUUGCCCUUGGUUUUCCCUCUCUUAUACUUCUAUUUCCCUUUUCAAUUUUGGAAUCACUGAUUUAGAAGUGAGGCAGCGGUGCCUUUCCUCUCCGGAGAAAUCGCCGAUUACUCUCCGGCGCUCACCGAAUCGUCGAUGCUCUCAAAGUGUCGAGCUCUCUCUCUGCAGCCGGUACCCUGAUGUCGCCGUUGGCUGCUCACGGCGACUGCUCCAGCUCUCGGCAUCACGGUCACUAUCGCGCUCCCCUCCGUCAAUGCCUCAGCUCGGCUGGAGUCCCUACAUCGAGCUGGAACUCGGCCGCGGUUCCCUCAGCCGGCGCCUUUCCGUCGUCACCGCCAUCUGCCGCCAGCCAAUUCCGCCGACGUGCCACGCUGUGGAUAUCUCACCGACGACCGUUAGCCAGCUCCGAUUCUUCGUUCGAGCAGCGGUUCUGCCCGCGGCUACCUCCGCCGGCGUGCUCGCUGUCGAUCUAGCCUCGCGGCAUCGCUCAGCUUCCAUCAUCCGUCGUCGGACAACCUUCCCUAAGCUAAGUCACCCUUUUAACCACUUCGCUGUCUAGUUUAUCAUUUAAGCAUUUCUGAAUCGAUGUUUAGACAGUAGUUGGGUUCAAGUUUCCAACGCUACUAGUUUGUAUAACUAAGCAUAUUGUCGCUUUAGUAUUCUGCUGUGAACACUACUUAUGUUCUGGAAAUCUUUACAAGCUGUGGUUUCUAGCAUGUGGUGUGAAAAGGUUAGCUUCCUCUCAUCUUAAGCAUGUUAUGUGUUGGCUAGCGGCCUAUUAUGCUGUGCUUAAGUUUCUCUACCAUGAGCAUAUGCGUAUGUUCUAUUGCUAUGAGAGGGUGUUGUUUACUUACUGAAAAACCUUGAGAUUGUUGUCUCCGACUUGAUUUCUUCCUCCCUGCCUCGGUUCUUCCUCCCUCUCCUUAGCUUGCUUUCUUCUUACUCUCAAUUUGCUAUAAGGCUGAGCAGUUUUGUGGUGGUGGGAGGGAAUGGAGCCGAGAGGUGGCAUUUAUAGAGGUUCUGUAAUAGAAAGCCUGUUAUGGCUGAUGUCCUUGGCUGAGAAAAGGGGAAAUCUCAGGCUGAGCAGCUGACUGCUCUCUUGGCCUUUUUCUAACUGAUUUUGGUGGAAUAUGGGGUUUAUUAAUUGCUUUUGUUAAUUUAUGGCAGGUGCACUACAAUAGGAUCUUGCUGUUGAUAUCCUUGGCAGCAACGGAUGGAUAAUGGGUACAAAUCUGAAAAUCUCAGCCUUGCAGAGUGUAGUUACUGGGGUGGAAUGGUGCUGGCUGGAGUUUACCUCUUUCGGCCCAGCUCAGCCUCCCUUUUUCGAAAGGCACGCGAGAGGCCUAUUUCCGCUGGCUGUACGCCUUCUAAUUCGGCACAACGACUAUCAAGAAUCUGGGCCGAAAGCCCUUGUUAGAAAGGCCAGAAAUUUGUAGUUCUCGGCUGUAAUAGUGUAGGGAAAGUUUAUUUCCAAUAUUUUUCUUCCGUCAACAUUUGUAAUUUAAAGCUUAGCUUGAAAUUCUCGAAAUUGUAUUUGUACCCCUUUCAAGAAAUAAAAUACUCAUUCAUUCUUAAA